This is a long non-coding RNA of Gorilla gorilla gorilla (western lowland gorilla), 5767 nucleotides long. RefSeq lists it as uncharacterized. Lineage: Eukaryota; Metazoa; Chordata; Mammalia; Primates; Hominidae. The transcript is spliced from 6 exons. The record is from RefSeq and is a predicted model, not a curated record.
GAAUCAAGCUACUCCCAGCUUCUGCACACAUCUGGUCCAACACUACUUUGGGAUAUGUUUUGCUAAGGUUGCUGUUCUGCCUGGAAGGCCCUCAUUCCUCAGCUGCAUGACCCGAGGUUUCCUUCCUCUAAGACCUUGCUAGCGGCUCCUAGAUGCCUUCCAAACCAAAUUCUCUUCUAUGAGAUCAGCUCUCAGCUUUGUAUUCCCUGGCACUUAUGGAGUAUGUUAUGGAGAAAGACUGUCUAGUUGAAGGAAAACAAGCUCUGGGCUCCCACUGAUUCUACGUUAUGUUUAAAAGCUAAAGCCAAGCCAGGAAGAGGAAGACAAGAUGAGAAACCCCAAAUCAAGGUAAGAGAAGAAAAUAAGUGCAACAUGCCAGAAAUCCAGUAAAGCAGUUCAAGUAUCAGAAGAGCAUGAAUCAAAACCAAGUGCAAGAAAAGGCACCUUGACAUUGAACUGAAGGCCACCAGGUACUCACUGGGUCAAUGACUCUUCUCAUUUUUAUUCUCCUGCCAGUGCUUCCAAUCGCUGAACUGAACUGGAAACAAAUCAACAAGGGAAACCAAGAGAUGCAUUCCUUGAAGUUCAGCCUCCUGGCCUCAAGUAAGGCAGAGGAAGAGAAUACAUAGAUCUGUGGAGAAGAGUGGUGAUGGUGGGAGCUGCCAAUAAAGAACUAUCAAAAAAGGAUGAUGCAACAGAAAAGCCGUCACCAGAUACCAGCACCUUAAUGUUGGACUUCUCAGCCUCCAGAACUGUAAGAAAUAAAUCCCUGUUCUUUAUAAAUUACCCAGUCUCAGGUAUCCUGCUAUAGCAGCACAAAAUGGACUAUGAUAGAAAAUUGGUAUGAAGGAGUAGUACCAUAGUUAUAACAAAUACCUAAAAAUGGAAGCCACUCUGGAAAUGGGUAAGGGGUAGAGUAUGGAAGAAUUUAGAGGAGCAGGCUAGAAAAAGCCUAAAUUGCUGUGUAUUACUCCAGGAUGGUAAGAAAUAAAUCUCUGUUCUUUAUAAAUUGCCCAGACUCACAGCACAAAACAAAUUAAGACAUUAAGAUUUGCCCCAUUCUUAGAAUUCAUUUCUUCCAUUUUCCCUUUAAUUAAAUCAAUGCCAGCAUCUAAGCAGUGUGCACCUUUUGACCAUAGUCUUUCUAAUUGACCAGAAGCUUAGAUGUGGAAAAUGCAAAAACUAUGCACAUUUCUGGUGGGUUUAACUUCUGAGAAAUUUUUACAAGGUUUUCCUUAUUUUAUCUGCUCCAGUAAACCUGUGGUUUCAUGAACAGGCCUAGAAUUUGAGAUCCAGCUUCUAAACUUCAAAGGUGACUUUUCAACCCAUUUGUUUAUAGACUUGGUAUUAACCUUUUGAGUUCUAGAAUAGGGUUUUAGAACUUACUUUCAUAAAAGUUUAUAUAGUCAAUUCCAUUCAUUUAUGCUAAGGACAUAGAAUAUUUCUAGAUUGCACAAUAUGUUUCUGUGGGAAUUGAAUGGAAAUCCAGGUUUCCUGACAAGAAACAAAGGAUCUCUUAGUCUCUCUUGAUCCCAGUCACUUCUGAAGAAAAAAAAUUAUUUACCUGAAGUACAUUGCUUCCUUGUGGGAUUCUUUUUUUUAAAUGCUGGAUUGUGGAUUAAAUAAAAAGAUCCGAGAAAUAGGUCAGAAAUUAAAUCCUGGUGUUGUCAUGGUUUUUUUUAAAUAGCACCCUUGAAAUUGGUUGCAGAACAUACAUUUUAUCUGAUUCUAAUUAUGUGGAAUUUCGAAGUCAUUUUGGUAACAGAAACUACUCUAACCUGUUAUUAAACUCAGGAUUUUUUUAAGAAAUAAAAAUUGCUUGGUAAGAAUAUUAACGUUUAAAAAACUAUUAAUGAAUCAGACCAACAAAGCCUACUCAAAUGAAUCUGUAUCUUUAUUCAUGGUUCAAGCAUUACUUCCACUUAACUAAAAAUGAAUAUAUCCUCUGGAACUUAAAGGUUGAAAAAAAAGAAUGCAUCUUUAAUCUUUUAUGGUUACAGAUAUAAUAGAAAAAUUGUUUCUGCCCCAAAACCCUACUUUUAAAUAAUUAAUGAAAUAUAGACAUUAAUAAAUGUCUCUAAAAUUGCAUUUCCCAGGGAUAUAUCUAUUUAACUCCUGAUUCUAUUGUUAACAUCACCAAUACAUGGGAAAAGAAACUGAAGCUUUUUAAAUUACAUGCUAAUAUACGGCCAUCAAUUUUAAGGGAUUUUGAAAAGUCCACAAUAGUAAAAAUAGAGUAGGAAAAAUUAUAGUGAAGAAAUAAAAUAAAUUAGCUAAACAAUUAGGCUCUCUUUAUUUAUUUGAAGGAAGUAUUUAGAAGUAUGUGCUGAUUCUUAUGUUCUCAUACUUCAAGAUGAGAUCAUGUUGGCAUGCACUAUUAGGGCCCUCACUCUUGUCCAUAUUGUUUUGGCAAGCUUUAAGCAGAUGGCUCUGUAAUAUGGUAAUACCUUCUCUUUGGAUAACUCUUCAUUUCAAAGCAAUCUGUAGACAUUACACCUUUAAUUACAGGAGACCUCAAGGCACAAAGCAAAAGCAGAAUGAAUUUCAUCAUGGGAAUAUACAAAGCAAGGCAUUAACAUCUAUAGUUAAAUAGGUCAGCAUCAAACUUCUUGCUGUACCACCCACCAUUUCACACAGUUCAGCUAGCUGACUCAUUCAUAACUUUAAGGCUAAUCAGAAUAAAUUAAUGAUUCAUCACUAAUAAAGAUGCAGAGUGUGUACCUUUAUUCUUCAGUAGGGUAACAUGACCCUUCUGAGUACUUCUGGAGCAAAUGUGUAUGAAGUGCUUGGUUUUUUGUCACUAAGUCUAUGUACUCAGAAAAGACACAAAUUUUCAGUAUUCUGGUUUACCACUUGCCAGGCAAAGGAAACUGUAAAUAAAUGUUUCACCACAUAUUUAUGUGAAAAAAAUUAAUUGGUGAAUCGGCUUUGUUGUGAUUCUUAAUAAUAAUGAAUCAUAGUUUUAUACAUGUAGUAGGAUUAAGCAUUUGAGAUUUGAUUCUAGCAUUUCUGUCUAUGUGUUUAUAAUUUAUCCAAUGGAAGUAUUAAAAGAAAAGCUUUUUGGGAGUCCUUAUUAGAGUUCAGAAGUCUCACACUUAUGCACUUCUAUCAAGUGAUGUAAUAGGAAUGUGUUUAAGAUCAGCAGAUGAUAUAUUGAGUGUAAACAUAAUGUGCUCAUGAUGAAAGCCAAAACACUAAUUUAAUUGAUUGGAAGAAAACAGAAAUUCACCAGGAGUCAAAAUCCCAAAUAAGAGGUCCGUGUUUUCAAGGCUUAUUUUAAUAGUAUUAACUACUUCAACAAAUUAUUUUUCUUUGCUUUUUUCCAUUCACUUAAAAAUAUUUAAUGGUUUUAUUGAACUAUAUUUUACAUAUAAAAUUCGCCCGUUGAAAAUAUGCAACUUGAUGAUUUUUAGUAAAAUUUAGAAUUGUGCAAAUAUGAUAGAUUCCAUUUUAGAUAAUUUCUGUCAUUCUAAAAAGAUCUUUAAUGUCCAUUUUUAGUGAAAUCUGCUCCCACCCCCAGUCCCAGCAAACACUGAUAUAAUUUUCAUCUACUUAUUUUUGCUUUUCCUAGAAAUUUCAUAUAAAAAGUGUGGUUUGCAAAAUAAAAUCCCCUGCACUUGUGAAUAUUAUAUCACAUUGGAAAGGGGACUUCACCAAUGUAAAUUGCGUACAAAUGCGGAGAUUAUCCAGGACUAUCUGGAUGGGCCCAAUGUAAUCAAUUCAGCCCUCAAAAGCACAGAACCUUUCUCAGCUGGGUCAGAGAGAUACAAUAAUGGAAGAAGAGUCAGAGAGAUGCAAUGCAAGAAAGACUCAGUCUGCCACUGAUGGCUUUGAAGUUAGAGGAAGGGAGCCAUGAGUCAAGAAAUGGAGGGGACCUCUAGAAGGGAACAGUCAGAGAAAUAGAUUACCCUCUAGAGCCUCAAGAAAGAGACACAGCCCUGUCAAUUUAGCUUAGUGAGACCCAUGUCAGGCUUAUGGCCUCCAAAAUGAUAAGAUAAUACAUUUGUAUUGUUUUAUGUCGUUAAGUUUGUAGGAAUUAUUAUGGUAGCAAUAUAAAACUCAUAGAAAUGACUUCUUUCAUUUUGUAUUAUUUUAAGAUGCAUUCAUUUUGUUGCAUGGAUCAUUCUAUUUUAUUGCUGAGCAUCAUUCUAUUGUAUUGACACCAAAUUUUGUUUUUCCAAUCACCUAUUGGUGGGCAUUUGGGUCGUUUCCAGUUUUUGGCUAUUGUAAGUGAUGAUUUUAUAAACAUUUAUGUACAAAUCUUUUCGUGGAUAUCUAAAUAUAUGAUUUUGUUUCUCUUGGAUAAAUACCUAAGAUUAGAAUUGCUGAGUCAUAUGGUAAAUGGAUACUUAACUUUUAAAACCUCCCAAACUGUUCUUCAAAAUGGUUGUGCCAUUUUACAUCCCCACCAAUAAUGUAUAAAGGUUCCAGUUUCUUGAAAUAUUUGCCAACACUUGGUAUGGUCAGUCUUUUUGAUUCUAGUCAUUCUAGUGGGUAUAUAAUGAUAUCUCAUUGUAAUUUUAAUUUGCACUAUCCUAAUGACUGAUGAUGUUGAGCAUGUCUUCAUUUGGUGUUUUUAUUAUUAUUUUUAGCCAUACAUAUAUCUUCUUUAGUGAAAUGCCUAUUGAAAUAUUUUUCCCAUUUUCUUGUUGAGUUAUUUGUCACCUUAUUACUGAGCUUCAAAAGUUCUUUAUGUAUUCUGUUCAAUAGCCAGAUGACCUCACCUUCUAGCAUUCACACCCUUGAGUAGUGCCUUCCUCAUUGCUCCAGGAUUGGUCUGACCAACAGAACCAAACAACAUAUGGCAGAAAUGGUGGUGUAUCACUUCCAAGGUUAGGUUAUAAGAGACUGUGUUUUCCAUCUCAGCUUCUUUCUCUCCCCUGCCAAACCCCUUUGCAUCAUUCAUUCCGGAGAAUCCAGCUGCCGUGUCUUGAGGACAAUCAGAUGGCCUAUAAAGGGCCCCUGGGACAAGGAACUGAGGUGUUUUUCCAACAGCCAACAAGGAACCGAGGCCUGCCAACAACCGUAUGAGUGAGCACGGAAUUGUCUAGCUCCAGAUGACUGUGGCUUUGGCUAACAGCUUGUCUUGAGACACCCUGAGCCAACACCACUCAGCUAAGCCACUUCCAGAUUCCUGCCCCUCAAAACUGUAUGGCUUGUUGUUUUGAGAUGCUAAGUAUUAAGAGUAAUUCAGCAAUGGAUGACAACUAUAUUCUGGAUACAAGUGUUUAUUAUAUGUAUGAUUUGCAAAUAUAUUUCUCACUUUGUGGUUUGUCUUUCCAUUUUUGAAAUGGGAUCUUUCGAAUACCAUCAGUUUUCAAUUUCGAUGAAGUCAAAUUCGCCAAUUUUUCUUUUGUGAAUCAGGCUUUCAGAAUCAUGUCUAAGAAAUUCUUGCCUAAGGACACACAUUGUUUCUCGGAUGUCUUCUUCUAAAAUGUGGAUAGUUUUAAUUUUUCUACUUAUGUCUCAGAUCCAUGUUUAUUUAAAUUUGUAUAUGAUGUAAAGUAAGCAUCUGAGAUUUUUUGUUUUGGUUUGGUUUGGUUUUUGUUUUGCAUAUAGCAAUCCAUUUGUUCUAACACCACUUGUGGUAAAGAUUAUUGUUUUCCUCUUGAAUUGCCUAGGCAUCUUUGUUAAAAAUCAAUUUACUAUAAAUGUGUGGGUUUUUUACUGGGUUCUUCAUCCAGUUUUAUUGAUCUACAUAUCUAUUAUUAUACUGAUGUCAUACUGCAUUGAUUACUGUAACUUUGUAUUAAAAUUUGAAAUUACA